CUGGUUCUCCUGGUUCUCCUGGUGGUUUUGGUGCGGUACGUCUGCAGGAGGUCCAAAGGUGAGGGUGUGAAGCCGGGAGCUGAUGAUGUCACAUACAGUGACAUCAGAAUAACAUGUGACUCACAGCGACCAAUCACACGGAGGAAAGACUGUGCUCCUGGUUCAGUUUCCUCAGAGGUGAAAGGACCUGGAGACGUCACUUAUGGACAAGUGGUCAUCAAACCCCACAGGAAUAAAGCCUCUCCAUCAGAACCAGAGGUUAUUUACUCUUCGUUGAAGUAGACCUCCAUCCCAGUUCAACCACUGAUGUCCAACUGGUGGUCCAGGGGCUGCAGCUGGACCCGCAGAUCCUCAAAGUGACCUGCAGUACAUCUGUUUAUUUAUUCUGCAUGUUGCAUGUAAAGAUAUCUGUAGUGGAGCAAACCCAUUAAAAUAUGGAGCUGAAUCCUCCGAUUGUUCACAUGCUUUUGUUUUGACCUCAGGAGUUUCUGCUGUUAAUUUGCACAACCUCAUGAUGAGCUUUUUUGAUACGUGGUUACAUACAUUCUGUUGAACAGGAUCUGGGGAUAAUUGCCAAUUUUAUGUUUAAUUUAAUUUAAAUGUUGCCGCAGUGACCCAACUUCCCACACGGUCAAAGUUUAAUCUCAUUUGUCUUCUUGUUUGUUUGUUUCUGUGGUUUUGUCAAAGCUGUGAUGGAAAAUUCUGCCGGUUUCAGUUCACUUGUGGCUAACCAACCUGCACCAGCCCUCUCCCAAACCCUCCCCUCCACCCUGAGCCUUCUCUGUAUGUGUUAAUGAGUCAGAGUUUUUUAUAUCAGGCGCAAGAGAACGUUCUCACACAACCACAACCGCAUUCUAUUAACAGCCUUCAAACUGGAGCUCUUUCUGCUGAGUGUGUAUAAAGAGACUAACGUCCAAAAACCAUCAGCUGGACUUAAAAUGUA
Molecule: long non-coding RNA, 943 nt
Organism: Myripristis murdjan (pinecone soldierfish)
Lineage: Eukaryota; Metazoa; Chordata; Actinopteri; Holocentriformes; Holocentridae
Exons: 4
Source: RefSeq, a predicted model, not a curated record